UCGAGAAUUUUUCUCAAUGGGGGCAACCCUGAAGGAGCGACGCCGCGUGGAGGAUGAAGGUCUUCGGAUUGUAAACUCCUGUCAUUGGUGAACAAGAUACUGCCGUUAACUGCGGUGGUGUUUGAUAGUAGCCGAAGAGGAAGGGACGGCUAACUCUGUGCCAGCAGCCGCGGUAAUACAGAGGUCCCGAGCGUUGUUCGGAUUCAUUGGGCGUAAAGGGUGCGUAGGCGGGGAAGUAAGUUUGAUGUGAAAUCCCGGGGCUCAACCUCUGGACUGCAUUGAAUACUGCAUCCCUAGAGUACUGGAGAGGAAACUGGAAUUUACGGUGUAGCAGUGAAAUGCGUAGAGAUCGUAAGGAAGACCAGUGGCGAAGGCGAGUUUCUGGACAGUUACUGACGCUGAGGCACGAAGGCCAGGGGAGCAAACGG
This 428-nucleotide ribosomal RNA is filed under the name uncultured bacterium. Its description in RNAcentral is "bacterial SSU rRNA". It matches the Rfam family "Bacterial small subunit ribosomal RNA", at positions 355 to 775 of the family's 1533-position model. The record is from RNAcentral.